Molecule: transfer RNA, 74 nt
Filed under: Bacteroidales bacterium
Lineage: Bacteria; Pseudomonadati; Bacteroidota; Bacteroidia; Bacteroidales
Also listed under: 1 other name
Description: tRNA-Arg
Rfam family: tRNA
About the family: Transfer RNA (tRNA) molecules are approximately 80 nucleotides in length. Their secondary structure includes four short double-helical elements and three loops (D, anti-codon, and T loops). Further hydrogen bonds mediate the characteristic L-shaped molecular structure. tRNAs have two regions of fundamental functional importance: the anti-codon, which is responsible for specific mRNA codon recognition, and the 3' end, to which the tRNAs corresponding amino acid is attached (by aminoacyl-tRNA synthetases). tRNAs cope with the degeneracy of the genetic code in two manners: having more than one tRNA (with a specific anti-codon) for a particular amino acid; and 'wobble' base-pairing, i.e. permitting non-standard base-pairing at the 3rd anti-codon position.
Source: RNAcentral
GGCUCCUUAGCUCAACUGAAUAGAGCACUUGACUACGGAUCAAGAGGUUACAGGUUUGAAUCCUGUAGGAGUCA